Molecule: ribosomal RNA, 253 nt
Filed under: uncultured bacterium
Lineage: Bacteria
Description: partial 16S ribosomal RNA
Rfam family: Bacterial small subunit ribosomal RNA
Source: RNAcentral
UACGUAGGGUGCGAGCGUUGUCCGGAAUUAUUGGGCGUAAAGAGCGCGUAGGCGGUCCGAUAAGUCGGCUGUGAAAGUCAGGGGCUCAACCCUUGGAAGCCGGCCGAUACUGUCGGACUAGAGUCCGGAAGAGGCAAGUGGAAUUCCCGGUGUAGCGGUGAAAUGCGCAGAUAUCGGGAGGAACACCAAUGGCGAAGGCAGCUUGCUGGGACGGUACUGACGCUGAGGCGCGAAAGCGUGGGGAGCAAACAGG